Molecule: ribosomal RNA, 492 nt
Filed under: uncultured bacterium
Lineage: Bacteria
Description: partial 16S ribosomal RNA
Rfam family: Bacterial small subunit ribosomal RNA
Source: RNAcentral
AUUGAACGCUGGCGGCAUGCUUUACACAUGCAAGUCGAACGGUAACAGGCCUUCGGGUGCUGACGAGUGGCGAACGGGUGAGUAAUGCAUCGGAACGUACCCAGAGGUGGGGGAUAACGCAGCGAAAGCUGUGCUAAUACCGCAUGUGAUCUGAGGAUGAAAGCGGGGGACCGAGCAGCAAUGUUUGGCCUCGCGCCUUUGGAGCGGCCGAUGUCGGAUUAGCUAGUUGGUGGGGUAAAGGCCUACCAAGGCGACGAUCCGUAGCUGGUCUGAGAGGACGACCAGCCACACUGGGACUGAGACACGGCCCAGACUCCUACGGGAGGCAGCAGUGGGGAAUUUUGGACAAUGGGCGCGAGCCUGAUCCAGCAAUGCCGCGUGCGGGAAGAAGGCCUUCGGGUUGUAAACCGCUUUUGGCAGGAACGAAACGGUGUCCGCUAAUACCGGGCGCUAAUGACGGUACCUGCAGAAUAAGCACCGGCUAGCUACGUG